RNAcentral lists this ribosomal RNA (459 nucleotides) under uncultured bacterium. RNAcentral describes it as "partial 16S ribosomal RNA". It matches the Rfam family "Bacterial small subunit ribosomal RNA", at positions 338 to 795 of the family's 1533-position model. The record is from RNAcentral.
CCUACGGGGGGCAGCAGUGAGGAAUAUUGGUCAAUGGUCGGGAGACUGAACCAGCCAAGCCGCGUGAGGGAGGAAGGUACAGAGUAUCGUAAACCUCUUUUGUCAGGGAACAAAGACUGGGACGCGUCCCCGGAUGAGUGUACCUGAAGAAAAAGCAUCGGCUAACUCCGUGCCAGCAGCCGCGGUAAUACGGAGGAUGCGAGCGUUAUCCGGUUUUAUUGGGUUAAAGGGGGGCGCAGGCGGUCUGUUAAGUCAGCGGGCAAAGCCCGGGGCUCAACCCCGGCCCGCCGUUGAAACUGGCAGUCUCGAGUUGGAGAGAGGUAUGCGGAAUGCGCGGUGUAGCGGUGAAAUGCAUAGAUAUCGCGCAGAACUCCGAUUGCGAAGGCAGCAUGCCGGCUCCACACUGACGCUGAGGCACGAAAGCGUGGGUAUCGAACAGGAUUAGAUACCCCGGUAGUC